AAGACUAUACUUUCAGGGAUCAUUUCUAUAGUUCGUGUUAGGUGACUUUUCUACUCAUAAAAUAAUGUGUUAUGAGCACA
Molecule: small nucleolar RNA, 80 nt
Filed under: Mesocricetus auratus (golden hamster)
Lineage: Eukaryota; Metazoa; Chordata; Mammalia; Rodentia; Cricetidae
Description: Small nucleolar RNA U3
Rfam family: Small nucleolar RNA U3
About the family: Small nucleolar RNAs (snoRNAs) are involved in the processing and modification of rRNA in the nucleolus. There are two main classes of snoRNAs: the box C/D class, and the box H/ACA class.
Source: Rfam by way of RNAcentral